GCCCACCUGGCGGAAUUGGUAGACGCGCUGGUUUUAGGUACCAGUGGCUUUAUGUCGUGGGAGUUCAAGUCUCCCGGUGGGCA
Prochlorococcus marinus str. NATL2A is the source of this 83-nucleotide transfer RNA. It matches the Rfam family "tRNA". Rfam says of the family: Transfer RNA (tRNA) molecules are approximately 80 nucleotides in length. Their secondary structure includes four short double-helical elements and three loops (D, anti-codon, and T loops). Further hydrogen bonds mediate the characteristic L-shaped molecular structure. tRNAs have two regions of fundamental functional importance: the anti-codon, which is responsible for specific mRNA codon recognition, and the 3' end, to which the tRNAs corresponding amino acid is attached (by aminoacyl-tRNA synthetases). tRNAs cope with the degeneracy of the genetic code in two manners: having more than one tRNA (with a specific anti-codon) for a particular amino acid; and 'wobble' base-pairing, i.e. permitting non-standard base-pairing at the 3rd anti-codon position. The record is from Rfam. NCBI's taxonomy places the organism in Bacteria, Bacillati, Cyanobacteriota, Cyanophyceae, Synechococcales, Prochlorococcaceae.